AGAGUUUGAUCCUGGCUCAGAACGAACGCUGGCGGCAGGCUUAACACAUGCAAGUCGAACGCCGUAGCAAUACGGAGUGGCAGACGGGUGAGUAACACGUGGGAACAUGCCCUUCGGUUCGGAAUAACUCAGGGAAACUUGAGCUAAUACCGGAUACGUCCAAGGCAACUUGGAGAAAGAUUUAUCGCCGAUGGAUUGGC
This 200-nucleotide ribosomal RNA is filed under the name uncultured bacterium. Its description in RNAcentral is "partial 16S ribosomal RNA". It matches the Rfam family "Bacterial small subunit ribosomal RNA", at positions 8 to 230 of the family's 1533-position model. The record is from RNAcentral.